GACGAACGCUGGCGGCGUGCCUAACACAUGCAAGUCAACUUGACUGAAGGAGCAAUCUGACAGUAGAGUGGCGCAAGGGUGCGUAACGCGUAAGUAACUUGCCCAAGGUAAGGAAUAACGUCGAGAAAUCGGCGCUAAUACCUCAUAAUGCAGCGGAUCCGCAUGGAUAUGUUGUUAAAAGGUUUACCGCCUUGGGAUAGGCUUGCGUCUGAUUAGCUAGUUGGUGUGGUAACGGCACACCAAGGCUACGAUCAGUAACUGGUCUGAGAGGAUGAUCAGUCACACUGGAACUGAGACACGGUCCAGACUCCUACGGGAGGCAGCAGUGAGGAAUAUUGGGCAAUGCUCGAAAGAGUGACCCAGCAACGCCGCGUGGAGGAUGAAGGUAUUCUAUAUCGUAAACUCCUGUGAGAGCAGACGAAAGACAGAUAUUAAUACUGGAUGACUGUAUGCUCAGAGGAAAG
This 464-nucleotide ribosomal RNA is filed under the name uncultured bacterium. RNAcentral's name for it is "bacterial SSU rRNA". It matches the Rfam family "Bacterial small subunit ribosomal RNA", at positions 28 to 491 of the family's 1533-position model. The record is from RNAcentral.